Molecule: ribosomal RNA, 459 nt
Filed under: uncultured bacterium
Lineage: Bacteria
Description: partial 16S ribosomal RNA
Rfam family: Bacterial small subunit ribosomal RNA
Source: RNAcentral
CCUACGGGUGGCAGCAGUGAGGAAUAUUGGUCAAUGGCCGAGAGGCUGAACCAGCCAAGUCGCGUGAGGGAAGACGGCCCUACGGGUUGUAAACCUCUUUUGUCGGGGAGCAAAGCGAGUCACGUGUGACUCAUUGAGAGUACCCGAAGAAAAAGCAUCGGCUAACUCCGUGCCAGCAGCCGCGGUAAUACGGAGGAUGCGAGCGUUAUCCGGAUUUAUUGGGUUUAAAGGGUGCGCAGGCGGAGGUGCAAGUCAGCGGUCAAAUUGCGGGGCUCAACCCCGUACUGCCGUUGAAACUGGCUGUCUUGAGAUGUCGAGAGGUAUGCGGAAUGCGCAGUGUAGCGGUGAAAUGCUUAGAUAUUGCGCAGAACUCCGAUUGCGAAGGCAGCAUACCGGCGGCGAUCUGACGCUGAGGCACGAAAGCGUGGGUAUCGAACAGGAUUAGAUACCCGAGUAGUC